GUGUCAGCCGCCGCGGUAAUACGUAGGGUGCAAGCGUUAAUCGGAAUUACUGGGCGUAAAGCGUGCGCAGGCGGUUUUUUAAGCCAGAUGUGAAAUCCCCGGGCUCAACCUGGGAACUGCAUUUGGGACUGGAAGGCUAGAGUAUGGCAGAGGGGGGUGGAAUUCCACGUGUAGCAGUGAAAUGCGUAGAGAUGUGGAGGAACACCGAUGGCGAAGGCAGCCCCCUGGGCCUAUACUGACGCUCAUGCACGAAAGCGUGGGGAGCAAACAGGAUUAGAUACCCUGGUAGUCCACGCCCUAAACGAUGUCAACUGGUUGUUGGGGAAGUGAUUCCUCAGUAACGAAGCUAACGCGAGAAGUUGACCGCCUGGGGAGUACGGCCGCAAGGUUAAA
This 393-nucleotide ribosomal RNA is filed under the name uncultured bacterium. RNAcentral describes it as "bacterial SSU rRNA". It matches the Rfam family "Bacterial small subunit ribosomal RNA", at positions 505 to 898 of the family's 1533-position model. The record is from RNAcentral.